This 492-nucleotide ribosomal RNA is filed under the name uncultured bacterium. RNAcentral's name for it is "partial 16S ribosomal RNA". It matches the Rfam family "Bacterial small subunit ribosomal RNA", at positions 29 to 507 of the family's 1533-position model. The record is from RNAcentral.
AGUGAACGCUGGCGGUAGGCCUAACACAUGCGAGUCGAACGGCAGCACAGUAAGAGCUUGCUCUUACGGGUGGCGAGUGGCGGACGGGUGAGGAAUACAUCGGAAUCUACUUUUUCGUGGGGGAUAACGUAGGGAAACUUACGCUAAUACCGCAUACGACCUACGGGUGAAAGCAGGGGAUCUUCGGACCUUGCGCGAUUGAAUGAGCCGAUGUCGGAUUAGCUAGUUGGCGGGGUAAAGGCCCACCAAGGCGACGAUCCGUAGCUGGUCUGAGAGGAUGAUCAGCCACACUGGAACUGAGACACGGUCCAGACUCCUACGGGAGGCAGCAGUGGGGAAUAUUGGACAAUGGGCGCAAGCCUGAUCCAGCCAUACCGCGUGGGUGAAGAAGGCCUUCGGGUUGUAAAGCCCUGUUGUUGGGAAAGAAAAGCAGCAGGUUAAUACCCCGCUGUUCUGACGGUACCCAAAGAAUAAGCACCGGCUAACUUCGUG